RNAcentral lists this long non-coding RNA (3392 nucleotides) under Triticum aestivum (bread wheat). RNAcentral describes it as "long non-coding RNA (TAES_LNC023886)". Lineage: Eukaryota; Viridiplantae; Streptophyta; Magnoliopsida; Poales; Poaceae. The record is from RNAcentral.
UUCGAAAAACUUUGAUAAAAUCCAAAAAAAAUAUUUCUCGCUUCUUUUUAGUUUUUCUUUCUAGUUUAAUUAGUUGUGUAAGUGCAUCUAGUGCCAUCCCUAGUUGGUUUUGGAGUAUUGAUGAAAACGUGGUUGAGGGAAUAAUGUGUUUGUGAGAAUUACAGGAUAACACAUGUAGUAGUCCCUCAUAGAUUCGGUUUACCUACCGGAGAUGACCCCUAAAAAUGUAUGAAGACAUUAAAGACAAUGGUGGUUCAUGAAUACAUUCACUUGAAGACUAUGGAGUGCAAAGACAUAGUUUCUUUCGUAGUUUCCUUUCAUUCUUCAUUGAGUCAUAGGAACCACCGUACUGUUAAGAGGGGUCCAAGUGAACAAAGUCAGAUGACUGAAGUGAUGGUCAACCAAAAUCCUAUGUCUUCGAGCGAAGACAAUAAGAGCAAAUCUUAUCCAGAGCUGGAUGAGUCUGCUUUGCUUGUAGCCCAAGCCAAGCUAUCGCAUGUGUUUGAAAUCUGACCAUUGGACAUGUGUUCGUUCCUUAGUGACACGGGGUCAUUUCAGACAUAUCAUGUCGGGUUGCCUCCUGGCUAUAAAUAGUCCACCCCCUACACCAUAAAUUGGUGGCUGCUCAGAGUUAGUGCACGACUUUUGUUAUUUGAGAGCAACCCACUUCCGAAGCCUUUGAGAGAGAUAUCCUUGCGAGGACAAAGCCCAAAACACCCAGAGCCAAAGAGUGUUAGGCAUCAUUGAAGUCUUUCUGCCCGCGUGACCUGAAGACUUGUUACACUUGAGGACUGUGUAUCCUCCAGCCGGUUAGGCGUCACGUUCUGAGGAUCCAGGAGUCAUUGUGGAUCGCCAGUGAACAGAGUCUGUGAAGGUUUGGAAGUCUACCUUGAAGACUUACCAGAGUGAUUGGGCGAGGACUGGGUGUCCUUAGAUCAAGGGGAAUAAGGUGAAGGCACGGUCUUCUAAGUUCAAUCUCAGCCUCCCUAACGAGACGUACAGUGGUCGAAGCAACUAGAACUGGUCUACCAAAUGCUUGUCUUCACCAAGCUACUGGUUCUACCCCGCCCUCACUUCCUUACUUUUCAAUUUGUCUUCCUGAAUUCAUUGCAUGCUUGCCUGAUUUGUUUGAUUUCACUGUGUGAAGACUAUUACCUGUUUGGCUUCAUACUGUCUUCCAUUCCGAUCCAUACUACCUAGCUCUUGUUAGUCUUCGUGCUUUCAUUACAUUGCUUAAUUGACUAUGUCUUGUCUAGUGUAGUUCAUCUUCCGCUGCAUAUCAUAUUGGUUCAUUCUAACAGUUUGUCUUCAAAGACCUCGUGUUUUGAAGACUUUCAUAAAAAUCGCCUAUUGACCCCCCCUCUAGUCGAUAACUAGCACUUUCAAGUUGUAGUAUUAAAAGAAAACACACAAAGAUUUCUCGUUCUUCUUUUGCUUGUUGGGAGCUUUCCUGUGUAAAUAGUUUUUCUCGUUUUUGUUCUACUUUCUUUAGAAAAACAAAAACUCCAAAAAUAUUUCAAUGUGUUUCUUUGAAAUUAUUUUCUUUUUCUUUGGGUCGUAAGGAGAAGAGCACGAUGAAAAUGUUGAGUGGCUCUCAUAUGCAUUAUUGCUUAUCUAACAAACACUGGUGCACGUCGGUCCUAAACAAAUGGUUUUUAACCCCUUUCCACGACGACAUUUGGAACCGUAGCCAAGUGAGUGUAGGCGAUAGGGGGGUCCUCCGCACACGACCUAGAAACCGUCGGGGAUAUGCCCUCCUGGCACACACGCUCAGAAAAAUGAGGUCGUGUGUGACCGGCGAGCGCUCAAAUACAGAAAUACGUACAGUAGAGCUAAAAAAUACAAUUAUACGGCGAAAUUGUUUCCGGUCGCAAGUACAUCCCACACAGUCAGUCCCGCCUAAACGUUUCCGUUUGUAUGUACAUCCCACACAGUCAUUCCAAGGAAAACGUUUCCGUUCAUAGGUACAUCACACACAAUUUUUCCCGUUAAAUCGUUUGUGAUAGCGUUGCCAUUGCACACGAUAUUAAUAAUUUUAUCGUUUGCGUUAUUGAAUGCAUCACACACGAUGCGUAGAAGAAACUGUGUGGCAAAGGCUGUCCAUCACACACACUUUUUAUGUGGUAAACAUUUGCGCAAGGUGGCCUAACGCAAACAGUUUUCAAGAGAAAGUCGUGUGUGUAGUGGAGAUUGAUCGCACACGUAGUGGAUCCUAGAAACGUUUCUGAUCUCCACGUAUAUCGCAGACGUUUCGCUUUCGCAAACUGUGUGCAGUGUAAUCCCUAAUUAAUCCAUAAUUAAUCCAAUUAAUCCCUAAUUUAAAAAUCACAUGUUUUGAAUUUGAAAGUAGGCAAUCACUUAUUUCAUAUCCAACCAUGUUUAUUACAAAUAUAGGUUCAACCACGAAUCCAUAAUUCGAUGCACAGGUACAUAUACUGAAGAACUACAGAAGCACCAAGUAAAGAAUGAUGAACCACAGUUGUACUAAAGACCGUAAAGAGAGAGGCGAAAGACAUUCUUGUUGCUGGAGAAGGUGAAGCAGAAUGCCCAUAUUGUGCCCUCCUCCAUGCGUAAGGCGCGCAUGACUCUAGGCCAACCCCGUGUGAUGGUUGCUCGUCCAUCCUUCACUGUCUUCAUUAGGACUUCUCGAUGCUCAUUGUAGUCUGGAUGAAAUACUUUAACCUUCAUUGCGUGUCCACCAAGCAUGUAAUAGGACUCACUCUUGGUGCAGCAGGGUACGAUUCAAAUCACAACCUCUUCAUGAAUGAACCAACAACUAAAAAACAUGCAUGAACGCAAAACCACAGGGGGCAUCCCCAGACAAACCAAAAGGUUCUCUCUGAUUAUAGAUAGUAGCGAAAUUGCCAAAACAUUAAAGACCUGAUCACAAAUUGUGCUUUUGACCAACCAACUUUCAGUACAACCGAUUGCAGCAAAAACUAGGUAGAAUAGUUCAAUAUCCAGACACGGGUAAAACUAGGGAUGGCGCCAGCGCCCAAUCAUGCCAGAACUAGAUCAAAGCGCCACACGGGGAGCAGGAGCUCCAGGGACAGCACGCGAGGUAAUCUUGAGUGAACUGCUUCAGGAACCACUGGGAACGAAAAAGAUUCAUAAAUUGUUGUCUAAUAACUCAUUAUGGGCAGUAAAAAGAGAAGGCUGUAGAUCAUAAACAAAUAAUUUGCUUGCCACCAUCCGUAUCUUUUUGCUAAUAAUCCUUAUCAGUUUCCUCACUUGACGCUUGUUCAUCAAUAUCUCAUUGCCCCAUACGCAGAAAGGGUCGAUGCGUGGACCCUUGCCGAGGGCAUAUGUACCUACAAGCAACAAGUCAAUAUUAGAAGCUAACUAGUGUCCAGGCCUGGAUCUGUAUUCACUACAUUAUGGAACGACGGGGG